AGUGAACGCUGGCGGUAGGCCUAACACAUGCAAGUCGAACGGCAGCACAGUAAGAGCUUGCUCUUACGGGUGGCGAGUGGCGGACGGGUGAGGAAUACAUCGGAAUCUACUUUUUCGUGGGGGAUAACGUAGGGAAACUUACGCUAAUACCGCAUACGACCUACGGGUGAAAGCAGGGGAUCUUCGGACCUUGCGCGAUUGAAUGAGCCGAUGUCGGAUAGCUAGUUGGCGGGGUAAAGGCCCACCAAGGCGACGAUCCGUAGCUGGUCUGAGAGGAUGAUCAGCCACACUGGAACUGAGACACGGUCCAGACUCCUACGGGAGGCAGCAGUAGGGAAUAUUGGACAAUGGGCGCAAGCCUGAUCCAGCCAUGCCGCGUGGGUGAAGAAGGCCUUCGGGUUGUAAAGCCCUUUUGUUGGGAAAGAAAAGCAGCAGGUUAAUACCCCGCUGUUCUGACGGUACCCAAAGAAUAAGCACCGGCUAACUUCGUG
Molecule: ribosomal RNA, 491 nt
Filed under: uncultured bacterium
Lineage: Bacteria
Description: partial 16S ribosomal RNA
Rfam family: Bacterial small subunit ribosomal RNA
Source: RNAcentral